This 604-nucleotide ribosomal RNA is filed under the name Prosopocoilus formosanus. Its description in RNAcentral is "partial 16S ribosomal RNA". It matches the Rfam family "Bacterial large subunit ribosomal RNA", at positions 1770 to 2645 of the family's 2925-position model. Lineage: Eukaryota; Metazoa; Arthropoda; Insecta; Coleoptera; Lucanidae. The record is from RNAcentral.
UGAAGGAAUUCGGCAAAUUUAUUUUCUGCCUGUUUAUUAAAAACAUGGCUUUUUGGGAAUAAUUUAAGGUCAGGCCUGCCCAAUGAUGAUAUUUAAUGGCCGCGGUACUCUGACCGUGCAAAGGUAGCAUAAUCAUUAGUUUUUUAAUUGAAAGCUGGAAUGAACGGUCUUACAAGAAAAUAACUGUCUAAACUGAAUUGUUUUAAAAAUUUAUUUUUGGGUUAAAAAGCUUAAAUGUUUUUGAGGGACGAGAAGACCCUAUAGAAUUUUAUAAAUUUGGAUAGAUUAGUUUUUUAGUUUGGUUGUUUUGGUUUAUGAAAAUUUAUUUUGUUGGGGUGAUAGAAAAAUUUAUGAAACUUUUUUUAAAGGAUAUCACUUGUAUGUGUUUAUUUGAUCCAUUUCUUAUGAUUAAAAGAUUAAAUUACCUUAGGGAUAACAGCGUAAUUAGUCUGGAGAGUUCUUAUUAAUAGACUAGUUUGCGACCUCGAUGUUGGAUUAAAAUAAACUUUUGGUGUAGGGGCUAGAAAAGUUAAGUCUGUUCGACUUUGAAAAUUUUACAUGAUCUGAGUUUAAACCGGCGUGAGCCAGGUUGGUUUCUAUCUUU